This 395-nucleotide ribosomal RNA is filed under the name uncultured bacterium. RNAcentral's name for it is "bacterial SSU rRNA". It matches the Rfam family "Bacterial small subunit ribosomal RNA", at positions 142 to 518 of the family's 1533-position model. The record is from RNAcentral.
AGUAACAUCCGGAAACGGGUAGCUAAUACCGCAUAGUUUUCUUGAUCGCAUGAUUGAGAAAGGAAAGACGGCCUUUGUGCUGUCGCUUAUGGAUGGACCCGCGGCGUAUUAGUUAGUUGGUGAGGUAACGGCUCACCAAGGCGAUGAUACGUAGCCGACCUGAGAGGGUGAUCGGCCACAUUGGGACUGAGACACGGCCCAAACUCCUACGGGAGGCAGCAGUAGGGAAUCUUCCGCAAUGGACGAAAGUCUGACGGAGCAACGCCGCGUGAGUGAAAGAAGGUUUUCGGAUCGUAAAACUCUGUUGUCAGAGAAGAACAAGUUGGAGAGUAACUGCUCCGAGCCUUGACGGUAUCUGACCAGAAAGCCACGGCUAACUACGUGCCAGCCGCCGC